GCUUAUCUGGUUGAUCCUGCCAGUAGUCAUACGCUCGUCUCAAAGAUUAAGCCAUGCAUGUGUAAGUGUAAAUGUACUAGUUUGGAACUGCGAAUGGCUCAUUAUAUCAGUUAUAGUUUAUUUGGUGAAGUAUACUACUUGGAUAACCGUAGUAAUUCUAGGGCUAAUACAUGAGAAAGUCCUCUGGUGAGGUGUGUUUAUUAGAAUGAAAACCAUAUGCUUCGGCAGUAUAGUGAGUAAUAGUAACCUAUCGUAUCGCAUGCUUAAUGUAGCGAUGAGUCUUUCAAGUUUCUGCCCUAUCAGCUUUCGAUGGUAGUAUAUGGGCCUACCAUGGCAGUAACGGGUAACGAAGAAUUUGGAUUCGAUUUCGGAGAGGGAGCCUGAGAGAUGGCUACCACAUCCAAGGAAGGCAGCCAGGCGCGUAAAUUACCCAAUCCUGACACAGGGAGGUAGCGACAAUAAAUCACAAUGCGGGACUAUUCGUCUUGCAAUUGGAUUGAGAACAAUGUACAACUCUUAUCGAUAAGCCAUUGGAGGGCAAGUCUGGAGCCAGCAGCCGCGGUAAUUCCAGCUCCAAUAGCAUAUAUUAACGUUGUUGCAGUUAAAAAGCUCA
Molecule: ribosomal RNA, 613 nt
Filed under: Blastocystis sp.
Lineage: Eukaryota; Bigyra; Opalinata; Blastocystidae
Description: SSU rRNA
Rfam family: Eukaryotic small subunit ribosomal RNA
Source: RNAcentral